This is a long non-coding RNA of Diabrotica virgifera virgifera (western corn rootworm), 5756 nucleotides long. RefSeq lists it as uncharacterized. NCBI's taxonomy places the organism in Eukaryota, Metazoa, Arthropoda, Insecta, Coleoptera, Chrysomelidae. The transcript is spliced from 2 exons. The record is from RefSeq and is a predicted model, not a curated record.
ACAACGAAACCCGAUUUCGGUUUCGAAACUUUAAUAAAUUCAUUUUUUAGUAAAAUUGUAGCUUAUUUCCCAUAGAAAAUACUUAAUAGCAGAGGCUUAAAUGUCUGAGGCCUGCACUUGGUGUUAAAAAAUCAUCAAAAUUAAAGGCGUUACCAAUAAGGAAUCGAAGGACAAAUAUAAAAUAAAAAAAUAGUCAAAGAACGAGAGUCUAGUAAUACUUUUACACAAAAAGAAAACAACGACAGAUGUGACAUACAGAAUUAUAGACAUAAUAUAUCGUUGCUCAGUCAUACAAACUAUUUACGAGAAUUAAUAACAACCGCUUGGCCUACAAAAUGGACAAUUACCAACCGGUGGAACAGGCUGGCUUUAUGAUGUGAGCCAUAUAACAAGCUAUUAUUAAUUCUAGAAUAGAUUUAAGAUAUAGGCAACUAAUGCAUAACAUAUAAUAUGAAAAUGCAACUAUGAUAGUACAACUAGACGGAGAUAUAAAUCCCAUCCCCACUAAGAGAGGAGUGAGACAAGGAUACGUAAUAUUACAGAGUGCGGAUAUUACUAGAAGAGUAAGAAUAGCAUGGACAGGAUUUCGCAAUUUUAAUUGAAUACAUAAGAACCGCAAAAUACCCCAAUACUUAAAGAACAAAGUGUUCAACCAGUGCACCCUUCCUAUAAUGUCAUACGGAUGUCAAACCUAGACCCUAAUCAAGGCAAAUAUGAAUAAUCUAGCCAAAACAGAAAGAGCAAUGGGAAUAGCGAUGUUGGUAUACAACUGUCAGAUAAAAAGAGGAACGACUGAGUAACUUAAAAAAGUUAGGGACAUAACAACAAAAAUUGCCAAACUUAAAUGGAGCUUCGCAGGCCACACUGCUAGACAAAAAGACCAACGUUGGAAUGCAACAGUACAACAUUGGAGACCUUACCAAAGUAAACGACCGAGAGGAAGACCACAGAUGAGAUGGGUUGAUGAUAUUAAAGGAGUAGCUGGAGCAAAUUGGAAAUAUGUUGCUCAUGAUAGAUAUCGAUGGAAGGAGUUAGGAGAUGUCUAGGUCUCAACUUGGACGAUGGAAGGCUAAGAAGAAAAGAAGAAGAGUACCUUAUAUACGUAAGGCUCCAUUGGUACACUGUUGUGCUUAGUUUUUCUAUGUUAUUGUAUUCUAUUCGUUAAACCCUCUCAAAACAAACUCUCUAUAGCAUCCUAAAGCCUUUUUGUCACAGUUACAAUGUUUAAUUUUUUCUAUGUCAUUGUUCCUCUCGAAUUCUGCGCUUUUCUACAAGCCGUUGUACAUUCACGUACCUUCAGCUGUUUGGGCACUACAUGCAUAAGGCGCCUUUGGUUAUCCAGUAUCGAACCCAUAACCAUUCACUAUUUCCUUUUUGAGCUACCCUCUUUUCAACGAUAAGUUGUUCUAUACACACCACAAACCGCUCAAACGAUGACCAGAAUGAAUUUUAGACCUUGGUGGAGGCAGAUAAUGUUAAUUCUUACAGGCGCAAUGCGCCUUGCGCAUCCUCAAAAUCACAGUUUUUGCUCCCUUUGGUUAUCCACUCUCGAACCCCAACCAUGCAGUAUUUACUUCUUGAACUACUCUUUUUUUACGAGGUCUCAUACGUUCCUAUCUAAUGAGUAGUUCUACCCACACCACGAAACUAGUGAUGUUGAUUAUAGUUACUUUCGAGUAUUCGUUACAAAUCGCUACUUUUGUAUAAAGAAAUCAUUUACAGUAUUCGUUACUUUGAUUACUAUGAUUACUUUUGUAUUUGAGUACCGGUAAUCAUAUCGAGAAUCGUAUUUCUCAGUAGGUAGCUAUUUUGUAUAGGUAUUCCGAUAUAACAACGACCUUCACCGAUCUGUUUAAGGGAUUAAAAUGAUUUGAUUACUAUGAUUACUUUUGGUACUUUUGUAUUUGAGUACUGGUAAUCAUAUCGCAAAUCGUAUUUCUCAGUAGGUAGGUAUUUUGUAUAGAUAUUCCGAUAUAAUAACGACCUUCACAAAGUACAAAGUAAUCAGAGUAAUCAAAGUAAUCAAAGUAGAUGCAAUAGUCGUUACUCGCUCUGUUACGAUUGGUACGAAGUAAUCAGAGUAAUCAAAAUAAUCAAAGUAGAUAUAAUAGUCGUUACUCGCUUUGAUACGAUUGGUAUGAAGUAACGAAGUAAUCAGAGUAAUCAAAGUAAUCAAAGUAGAUACAAUAGUCGUUACUCGCUCUAAUACGAUUGGUAUGAAGUAAUGAAGUAAUCAGAGUAAUCAAAGUAAUCAAAGUAGAUACAAUAGUCAUUACUAGCUCUGAUACGAUUGGUACGAAGUAACGAAGUAAUCAGAGUAAUCAAAGUAACGAUUUUCUGUAUAGUAAUCGUUACUUUCGGUAUUCGUAAGUAACGAGUACUUUGUAACGAAUAGUUACUUUUUCAACAUCACUACAUGAAACGCUCAAAAAAUUACCAAAAUGAAACUUAUAUUUUUUUGGAGGAGGCAGCCGUUAAAUCUUUCGUAUUCACCAAAUCACAGUUUUAGGUCCCGUCUCAAUGCUGCUUAAUUAAAGGUUCCUUUUGUUAUACACUUUGGAACCCCAUUCAAUAUUUCCUUCUUGAGUUAUUCUCUUUUCAACGAGGUCUCAUACGUUCCUAUUCAACAAGCGUUCCUAUCCCAUCCACAAAACACUCAAAAAAUGACCAGAAUGAAACUUAGAUUUUGGUGGAGGUGAACCAAGUUAAUUAUUAUAGGCACAUCAGUUCGCAUAUUGUCUCGUAUCAAUGCUGCCUAAUUGCUACAUGAACAAAAAAAAAUUGAAGUGAAGUAUUGAAAUAAAAUAUAAUAAAAGGUAACGGAUUUUGCUCUAUUAUUAGUUGCUGAUAAUAUAGGCUAUUGAUUAUGUUCAAAAUAAGAGAGCUAAAAGGAACUAUAACGUUAACGGGAUUUUAUUAUUUCAUAUUAUGGUCAAUGGACCUCUAAAUUUAAAAAAACCGUAAAGUACUACCAUUUAAAUGUGUGCGUUUUUGAGAAAGGGGUAAAUUAGUCCCUAGGUACAGGGUGAAUUAGGGUGAAUUCUAUGCACUUUUGGUACAAACACGUCUACAGGAAAAUUGUUUUCGGGUUAAAUUUAGUAUCGAAAUAUCACAUUUCAAAGUCAAAAAUAUUUUUUUAACCAAAAUAUAUAUUAAAAAAAAUGCAAUAAAAAAACACAAAAGAAAGCAUUUUUGUUAUAUACCAGUGAUAUAGGUAUAGGUAUUGCUUCAGCGAAAAAUAAUUUCCAUCCGUCCUCUUGAAAAUGACGUUUGGUAAAAGUUUCUGGGAUUUACAGUUUCCAAAAUAGGAUUUUUCAAACUUCGCCGCUCACAGCAUUUUUGGGCCAUUUUUCCCCAUUAUUUCACAAGCAUUGUUCUGUAACUUUUUUCUACGCAUUUAUAGGUAUAUGCAAUGCUACAUCUAUUAUAAAGAGAAGUCAAUUACUUUUAAAAUGGUCUAUCGUAUAAGAUUGUGCGACUAUUCUUAAGCAAGUUGUGUUUUUUAAGGUUUUAUAGGUACUUUGAAUGAUUUUUGAUAUUUUUUAUGAUUAUUGUUUAAACUUCUCGUUAUGGCUUUUUUCUUGUAUAUUUAGGUAUAUACAUUCUGGAAUAAAAUAGCUUAUCUUCUUUACUUUAAAAUGGUGUAUUUCAAAAAAUUCUAGGACUGUUUAACAAGAAAUUCGUAGGAUAUCCAAGGGUAUCCGUAAUUUGAAAAAAAAAUUAAUUCUUUUUAUUUUUUUAAUUACAACUAUAUAAUUGCAUAUUAUAGCAUAAUUAUCAAUUCCAAAUAACUUUUCUUAAAAAAACUUUUUGAUAUUGUGAAAUAUAAAGGUACUUUACUCUUGAGCGAAAUUCAUAUUUUUUAACAUACCUACCUCGUACACUAUUGAUAAAAUUUUAUAUCUGAUAAUUGCGUUUUAGGUUUUAGACUAGGCAGAACAUUUUAUAAGGAAUAAUUUUUUUUCAUAAAGUUAAUAAAAAGGUUUUCCAUAUGGUUCCAACUUAGUGGGACCUAUUGCAUGUGUAUAUGUCACAUUUUGAAAAAGCAUACCUUGUUUAGAAAUAGUCGUAGAAUUAUUUACAAUGCAACAUUUUAAAGUAAAGAAGAUAAGCUUUCUUUUUUAUUUGACAAUUUAUAUACCUAAAUAUGCAACAAAAAAGUUAUAAUGAAAAAUUUAAAAUAAUCUUAAAAUAUAUCAAAAAUCAUUAAAAAUAUAAGAUUUUAAAAAACCAUAUCUUGUUUAAAAAUAGUCACACAGCCUUCUACACUAGACCAUUUUAAAGGUAAUGGAAUUUUCUUCCUAUUAAAUGUAACAUUGGAUAUUCGCAGUGUGCAAGUACUUGGAAGGGAUACGUGAAACGAUCGUGCGCGAAUAGCGGACAAAUAUUGCAACUUUCUUAAGUAAUUCAUAUUGUCAAUUUAAAUUGUCAAAUUGACGUACAUUUCAUAUCUACUGUCAUUGAAGAAGAAAAAUGAUAUGUUGGUCCACAAUAUUGAUAUGAUAUGCAAUUAUUAUAUAAAAGUAAAUUUAAUUAAUUGUAUUUUACUUGCAGUACUGCAUUUUAAUAACUAAUUUUAUUUACUACAUACAAUUGUUUAAGUUUUAAUAACAUAACCUGAAUCUUAUUUUUUCUUCUUAUAAUUUUUUUGGACUAUGGCCUUGACAAUUUUCCAGUAACCAGGACUAAUAUAAUUGGACAAUAUAAUUAAAGGUGCGAAUAAAGUUGCAGAGCGUAGAAAUAGGUGUCGCUUUGCCGAACUUGCACGGUCCCAAUACCUAAAGCUGAGUCGAAAAAAGUUACAAAACAAUGUUUGCGAAGUAACAAGUAAAAUGACUCAAAAUCGCUGUGAGUGACGAAAUUUGAAAAGUCAUAUUUUGAAAACUGCAAAUCAUAGAGGCUUCUACUAAACGACAUUUUAAAGAGGCGAGACGGAAAAUAUUAUUCGCUGAAGCAAUACCUAUACCUAUAUCACUGUGGAAAAAAGUUAUGGAGCAAAAAACAAAAUUGGUUUCCUUCGUGUUUUUUUCUUGCUUUCCUUUUGCAAAUAUUUUUGUAAAAAAAAAUAUUUUUGACUUUGAAAUGUGAUAUUUUGAUAGUAAAUUUAACCUAGAACAAUUUUCCUGUAAACGUGUUUGUACCAAAAGUGCAUAGAACUCACCCUGUGCCUAGGGACUAAUUCACCCCUUUCUCAAAAACGCACAUCUCUAAAUGGUAGCACCCCACGGUUUUUUCAUAUUUAGAUGUCCAAUGACUAUAUGAAACAAUAAAACCUGUUAACGUUUUAGUUCAUUUCUAAAAUAUAUAAUUAAUAGCCUAAUUGUAAAACUAUACAAAACGGCAACUGCUAAUAAACUCAAUAGUUUUAAUAUAAUAUUUCCCAAAAAAAUGGCCGAUUUAACGAUUAAAAUUGUACUGUCUUCCGAUCGUUUUAUUUUGGCAAAAUCUAUAACACCCUUUUAUUUGAAAUUCCUUUAAAGAAAAAGUUAUUGUUCCUUAUUUAUUAUCUUGGAUUGUUUUAUUAAAUUUCUCAUUAGAGCAAUGUUAUUAUUUUUGGAUUGUUUUAGUAAAUUACGUAUUAGAGCAAUGUUAUUGUUUUAUGUUCUAAUGAACGUCUAAGGCUUUAAUAUUUUGCCGUUAUUAAAAAAUUGUCAAAAAUAAUAUGUUUCCAUUGUAAAACAGAUGGAUGUAGACGUAAAAUGAUUGUUAAUUUGUUAUAUGAAGUAUAUAUUGUGUAAUAAAAUAUGUAAACACUA